RNAcentral lists this transfer RNA (84 nucleotides) under Leptospirillum ferrodiazotrophum. It matches the Rfam family "tRNA". From Rfam's summary of the family: Transfer RNA (tRNA) molecules are approximately 80 nucleotides in length. Their secondary structure includes four short double-helical elements and three loops (D, anti-codon, and T loops). Lineage: Bacteria; Pseudomonadati; Nitrospirota; Nitrospiria; Nitrospirales; Nitrospiraceae. The record is from Rfam by way of RNAcentral.
GCCGGAGUGGCGAAACAGGCAGACGCAAGGGACUUAAAAUCCCUCUCCCGAAAGGGAAUACCGGUUCGAUCCCGGUCUCCGGCA